CUACCCUCUCCUGUUCCAAAAGCCUGUCUGGUCAGAAUGGUGUGAUGAGCCCUCCUCUUCAGCUAGGAAAAUGACGGUGUUCAGAAAGUUAAAACUUCUUCGCUGGAAGGAUUUCAUCUUAAAGUUGUUUUAGGCUGUUCUUCAGUGUCUUUGUUUGAACGUUAUAUAAUUGAUGAUCCCAAAGCUUUCUACAUAUUGGCAGGAAUUGUUUUUGACCACAGCGUCAAUGACAGCAAUGGAUCUUUGCCACUUGCGGUUAAGUAUCAAUUGCGCUUCAGUUACUUUCAGAAGAAUUUUAUACUGGGGAAGAAUAUAUUUUUUCAAGAUGACAUAGAAGGCUGGUGCACAUCCUUUCUUUACCCUCCCAAUCCACGCCAAGAACCCCGGGAAUUUCCAUUUGCUGUUGGGGGAAGUCCUG
Molecule: long non-coding RNA, 418 nt
Filed under: Homo sapiens (human)
Lineage: Eukaryota; Metazoa; Chordata; Mammalia; Primates; Hominidae
Description: non-protein coding lnc-CCNF-4:2
Source: RNAcentral